UGGGAACUCAAAACAUAUCACAGUUAAAACUUCAGCUGUACAUCUAAACCAGGAGUAAUCUCUACAUGAUCUUUCACGUUGUUUGUGGGCAACCUUCAUUUGUAUUUUCUUGCAAACAUCACACAUGUGAUAUUAUUUCCUGUCCUCUCAGGGAUAUCCAGGCGUUAUGGGCAGGACCGGGCGGACAGGAUACAGAGGCCCUAUUGGUCCUCCUGGAAUGCCCGCCAUUGUUGUGUUUAAAACCUCUGAAGAAGAAUGGGAGGCUUUCAAGAAGAAGAAGUUCUACAAAAAGUUGGUGUCUUCCUGGCCAAAACUUAAGGGGCCUCUGGGGCCUCCUGGACCUCCUGGCGAUGACGGAACAAUUGUAAGGAGACAAAAGUGGAUUACUUGAAAAUACAAAGUUCACAGAAGCGAUCUAGGGCGAAACUUCAUCACACCAUGACAAUAUUGAAUGUAUAUUGAUUGUGACUGAUUUUGUAUUCUAGGGGCCCCCUGGAAUUACUGGGAAGCAAGGACCAAAGGGAGUUCAAGGGGAAAUUGUAAUUAUCUUGACUUUAUUUGCUUUUUGUCUACAAUGAGGUUUUGUUUGCAAACUUCAUGCAUUGUA
RNAcentral lists this long non-coding RNA (607 nucleotides) under Scophthalmus maximus (turbot). RNAcentral describes it as "lncRNA (ENSSMAG00000021708.1)". Lineage: Eukaryota; Metazoa; Chordata; Actinopteri; Pleuronectiformes; Scophthalmidae. The record is from RNAcentral.